GCUUGUCUAGCUCAGUUGGUAGAGCGCAAGGCUCUUAAGCUUAAGGUUGUAGGUUCGAGCCCCACCGUUAACA
RNAcentral lists this transfer RNA (73 nucleotides) under Zea mays. It matches the Rfam family "tRNA". Rfam says of the family: Transfer RNA (tRNA) molecules are approximately 80 nucleotides in length. Their secondary structure includes four short double-helical elements and three loops (D, anti-codon, and T loops). The record is from Rfam by way of RNAcentral. Lineage: Eukaryota; Viridiplantae; Streptophyta; Magnoliopsida; Poales; Poaceae.